CUAAUACAUGCAAGUCGAGCGCGGGAAGCAAACUGAAUCCUUCGGGAGGACGUUUGUGGAACGAGCGGCGGACGGGUGAGUAACACGUGGGCAACCUGCCUGUAAGACUGGGAUAACUCCGGGAAACCGGGGCUAAUACCGGAUGAUCCUUCGUACCGCAUGGUACGGAGUUGAAAGAUGGUUUACGCUAUCACUUACAGAUGGGCCCGCGGCGCAUUAGCUAGUUGGUGGGGUAAUGGCCUACCAAAGCGACGAUGCGUAGCCGACCUGAGAGGGUGAUCGGCCACACUGGGACUGAGACACGGCCCAGACUCCUACGGGAGGCAGCAGUAGGGAAUCUUCCGCAAUGGACGCAAGUCUGACGGAGCAACGCCGCGUGAGUGAUGAAUGUCUUCGGAUUGUAAAACUCUGUUGUUAGGGAAGAACAAGUACCGUUCGAAUAGGUCGGUACCUUGACGGUACCUAACCAGAAAGCCCCGGCUAACUACGUGCCAGCAGCCGCGGUAAUACGUAGGGGGCAAGCGUUGUCCGGAAUUAUUGGGCGUAAAGGGCGCGCAGGCGGUCUUCUAAGUCUGAUGUGAAAGCCCACGGCUUAACCGUGGAAGGUCAUUGGAAACUGGGGGACUUGAGUGCAGAAGAGGAGAGUGGAAUUCCAUGUGUAGCGGUGAAAUGCGUAGAGAUAUGGAGGAACACCAGUGGCGAAGGCGA
RNAcentral lists this ribosomal RNA (708 nucleotides) under uncultured bacterium. Its description in RNAcentral is "bacterial SSU rRNA". It matches the Rfam family "Bacterial small subunit ribosomal RNA", at positions 48 to 724 of the family's 1533-position model. The record is from RNAcentral.